GACGAACGCUGGCGGCGUGCUUAACACAUGCAAGUCGAACGGUGAAGCCCUUCGGGGUGGAUCAGUGGCGAACGGGUGAGUAACACGUGAGCAACCUGCCCCUGGCUCUGGGACAACCACUGGAAACGGUGGCUAAUACCGGAUACGACCCGCCUCGGCAUCGAGUGUGGGUGGAAAGUUUUUCGGCUGGGGAUGGGCUCGCGGCCUAUCAGCUUGUUGGUGAGGUGAAGGCUCACCAAGGCGAUGACGGGUAGCCGGCCUGAGAGGGCGACCGGCCACACUGGGACUGAGACACGGCCCAGACUCCUACGGGAGGCAGCAGUGGGGAAUAUUGCACAAUGGGCGAAAGCCUGAUGCAGCGACGCCGCGUGAGGGAUGACGGCCUUCGGGUUGUAAACCUCUUUCAGCUCCGAAGAAGCGAAAGUGACGGUAGGAGCAGAAGAAGCACCGGCUAACUACGUG
Molecule: ribosomal RNA, 462 nt
Filed under: uncultured bacterium
Lineage: Bacteria
Description: partial 16S ribosomal RNA
Rfam family: Bacterial small subunit ribosomal RNA
Source: RNAcentral